Molecule: transfer RNA, 77 nt
Filed under: Candidatus Bathyarchaeota archaeon
Lineage: Archaea; Thermoproteati; Candidatus Bathyarchaeota
Also listed under: 3 other names
Description: tRNA-Val
Rfam family: tRNA
About the family: Transfer RNA (tRNA) molecules are approximately 80 nucleotides in length.
Source: RNAcentral
GGGCGGGUCGUCUAGCUGGUUAGGAUACCGCCCUGACACGGCGGUGGUCCUGGGUUCAAAUCCCAGCCCGCCCACCA